This 497-nucleotide ribosomal RNA is filed under the name uncultured bacterium. Its description in RNAcentral is "partial 16S ribosomal RNA". It matches the Rfam family "Bacterial small subunit ribosomal RNA", at positions 28 to 507 of the family's 1533-position model. The record is from RNAcentral.
GAUGAACGCUGGCGGCGUGCCUAAUACAUGCAAGUCGAGCGAACGGACGAGAAGCUUGCUUCUCUGAUGUUAGCGGCGGACGGGUGAGUAACACGUGGAUAACCUACCUAUAAGACUGGGAUAACUUCGGGAAACCGUAGCUAACACCGGAUAAUAUUUUGAACCGCAUGGUUCAAAAGUGAAAGACGGUCUUGCGGGCAGUUAUAGAUGGAUCCGCGCUGCAUUAGCUAGUUGGUAAGGUAACGGCUUACCAAGGCAACGAUGCAUAGCCGACCUGAGAGGGUGAUCGGCCACACUAGAGCGGAGACGCGGUCCAGACUCCUACGGGAGGCAGCAGUAGGGAAUCUGCCGCAGAGGGCGGAAGCCUGACGGAGCAACGCCGCGUGAGUGAUGAAGGUCUUCGGAUCGUAAAACUCUGUUAUUAGGGAAGAACAUAUGUGUAAGUAACUGUGCACAGCUUGACGGUACCUAAUCAGAAAGCAACGGCUAACUACGUG